RNAcentral lists this transfer RNA (76 nucleotides) under Acidithrix ferrooxidans. RNAcentral's name for it is "tRNA-Ala". It matches the Rfam family "tRNA". From Rfam's summary of the family: Transfer RNA (tRNA) molecules are approximately 80 nucleotides in length. Their secondary structure includes four short double-helical elements and three loops (D, anti-codon, and T loops). The record is from RNAcentral. RNAcentral also lists the same sequence under 3 other names. Lineage: Bacteria; Bacillati; Actinomycetota; Acidimicrobiia; Acidimicrobiales; Acidimicrobiaceae.
GGGGAUGUAGCUCAGCUGGAAGAGCACCUGCUUUGCACGCAGGGGGUCAGGGGUUCGAGUCCCCUCAUCUCCACCA